UAGGACGGCCAUAGGGGCUCGGCUCUACCUGUUCCCAUUUCGAACACAGCAGUCAAGCGAGCUUCCGUUUUUGGUUGUACUGCUCUCUUGAGCGGGAACCCAGGAAAGCUGUCCUAC
Molecule: ribosomal RNA, 117 nt
Filed under: Nanobdellota archaeon
Lineage: Archaea; Nanobdellati; Nanobdellota
Source: RNAcentral